Molecule: small nuclear RNA, 107 nt
Filed under: Microcebus murinus (gray mouse lemur)
Lineage: Eukaryota; Metazoa; Chordata; Mammalia; Primates; Cheirogaleidae
Source: RNAcentral
GUGCUUGCGUCGGCAACACAUAUACUAAAAUUCAAAUGAUACAGAGAAGAUUAGCAUGGCCCCUGUGUAAGAAUGACACACAAAUUCGUAAAGUAUUCCAUAAAAAA